UACGGAGGGUGCGAGCGUUGUCCGGAAUCACUGGGCGUAAAGGGCGCGUAGGCGGCCUGAUAAGUAGGGGGUGAAAUCCUGCGGCUUAACCGCAGGGCUGCCUUCUAAACUGUCAGGCUCGAGCACAGUAGAGGCAGGUGGAAUUCCCGGUGUAGCGGUGGAAUGCGUAGAGAUCGGGAAGAACAUCCGUGGCGAAGGCGGCUCUCUGGGACGGUACUGACGCUGAGACGCGAAAGCGUGGGGAGCGAACAGG
This 253-nucleotide ribosomal RNA is filed under the name uncultured bacterium. RNAcentral describes it as "partial 16S ribosomal RNA". It matches the Rfam family "Bacterial small subunit ribosomal RNA", at positions 524 to 776 of the family's 1533-position model. The record is from RNAcentral.